This 112-nucleotide ribosomal RNA is filed under the name uncultured eukaryote. RNAcentral's name for it is "partial small subunit ribosomal RNA". It matches the Rfam family "Eukaryotic small subunit ribosomal RNA", at positions 1676 to 1785 of the family's 1831-position model. The record is from RNAcentral.
UCGCUACUACCGAUUGAAUGGUUUAGUGAGCUCUACGGACUGUCGCCUACUUUUGGGUUUCCUUUGGUAGGCAGCGGGAAGUAGAUCAAACUUGAUCAUUUAGAGGAAGUAA